GAUGAACGCUGGCGGCGUGCUUAACACAUGCAAGUCGAACGGAAAGGCCGUAGCUUGCUUCGGUACUCGAGUGGCGAACGGGUGAGUAACACGUGGGUGAUCUGCCCUGUACUUCGGGAUAAGCUUGGGAAACUGGGUCUAAUACCGGAUAUGACGACCUGCUGGAUGGGGUUGUGGAGAGCUUUUGCGGUGUGGGGUGAGCUCGCGGCGUAUCAGCGUGUUGGGGGGGUAAUGGCCUACCAAGGCGUCGACGGGUAGCCGGGCUGUGAGGGGGUACGGGGACACUGGGGCUGUGAUACAGGCCAGAGUCUGACAGGGGGCAGAAGAGGGGAAUAUUGUGCAAUGGGGGCGGGAGUGAUGCAGAGACACCGCGUGGGGGAGGACGGCGUUCGGGGUGUAUACUCCUUUCGCGCUCGUCGAGGCCUUUUGGUGACGGUAGGUGGAGAAGAAGCACCGGCUAACUACGUG
This 468-nucleotide ribosomal RNA is filed under the name uncultured bacterium. RNAcentral describes it as "partial 16S ribosomal RNA". It matches the Rfam family "Bacterial small subunit ribosomal RNA", at positions 28 to 507 of the family's 1533-position model. The record is from RNAcentral.